CCGACCAAACCCGCACGCUGCUUGUUCUAUAGCUUGGCCGCUCGGGAGGUCAAGCCGCCCGCCCUCCCGUAAACCCUAUCUUCUCCUGUUCCCCUUCGUCCCCGGCCGGCGACGACGCCGCGCGCGCAGCGAACCCAGCCCCUCCUCCGGUUGCAGUAAGCAAGGAAGGAUGAGUAGGCGCUGGAGCCGGACCAUUUACGUUGGGAACCUCCCAGGGGAUAUCAGGGAGCGGGAGGUGGAGGAUCUGUUCUACAAGUAUGGACGGAUAGUUGAAAUUGACUUGAAGGUCCCCCCAAGGCCACCUGGCUUUGCUUUUGUUGAGUUUGAAGAUCCCCGUGAUGCUGAAGAUGCGAUUCAUGGUCGAGAUGGUUACAACUUUGAUGGGAAUCGUCUGCGGGUUGAACUUGCACAUGGCGGGAGGGCCAACUCUUCAUCCCUUCCGAACAGCUAUGGUGGCGGAGGACGCCGUGGUGGUGUCUCUAGGCAUACAGAGUAUCGUGUUCUGGUUACUGGACUACCUUCUUCUGCAUCAUGGCAAGAUCUAAAGGAUCAUAUGAGAAAGGCUGGUGAUGUUUGUUUCUCUGAGGUGUAUCGUGAGGGUGGUGGUACUAUUGGAAUUGUUGAUUAUACAAACUAUGAUGACAUGAAGUAUGCUAUAAGGAAGCUUGAUGAUACUGAAUUUAAAAAUGCAUUCUCUCGAGCGCCUAUAAGGGUGAAGGAGUAUGCUGGCAAAAGCAGCCGCUCCUAUUCACGCAGCCGUAGCAGAAGCCGAAGUGGCAGCUACAGCAGGAGUCCGAGUCCAAAGAAAAAACCAUCACGCCGUUCAGCGUCAAGAUCUCGGUCGAGAUCAGUUUCUUCCCAUUCAAGGUCACCGUCAAAGGGACGCUCUCCAUCAAGAUGAGGGAUUGUGCGGCGAUCUAGGGAUUGCGUAUUAGGAAAUUGAGGAUGGGGAUUUGGUCAGUUUGCACCAGCUCCCAUUGGUUGACCGAGAGCUUGGGCAUAGAGGUUUGGAACUCUGGAAGUAGAGCAUUAAGGAUUGACGGUUUGGACGGCACAAUGGUAUUUGCUCAGAUUUGAGUAUGCGAGGACUGGCUCCUUCACAGGCUUCAAAUUGGAGGGCUGUUCUAGCGUAUAUGCCGUAACAUUGACACAAAACACUUUCAGUACUGCAUGUUUUUUGACACAACUGAUUGCUUUUCAUUUCUGUGAGCCCAUUUUACUUGCAUUUGGCGAUUGGAAUGCUGGGGAGGAUGGAGGUUCUUGGAAGCAAGCUAUUAAAGCCCCAUUCUGGAUAUUGAUUUCUCUUGUUUUCUGGAACUUU
Molecule: RNA transcript, 1321 nt
Organism: Triticum dicoccoides
Lineage: Eukaryota; Viridiplantae; Streptophyta; Magnoliopsida; Poales; Poaceae
Gene name: serine/arginine-rich-splicing factor SR34-like
Exons: 13
Source: RefSeq, a predicted model, not a curated record